CUUUUCCCAUGCCUGAUGUUGACUGGGGAGGUAUAUGUGCACUCAUGCAGAAGAAGUAGGAGUUUCGACAUCGAAUUUGGCAUUUGGAGAAGCUGAUCCGAAGUCCGGUGUUGGCAGUGUGUGAUCGACAACCCUUGUUUUGCCUCGCUGCGCUUUAUUACCUUGUAGACAUUGUGGAACUUGGACAUGUAGGUACACUUUUCCCAUGCCUGAUGUUGACUGGGGAGGUAUAUGUGCACUCAUGCAGAAGAAGUAGGAGUUUCGACAUCGAAUUUGGCAUUUGGAGAAGCUGAUCCGAAGUCCGGUGUUGGCAGUGUGUGAUCGACAACCCUUGUUUUGCCUCGCUGCGCUUUAUUACCUUGUAGACAUUGUGGAACUUGGACAUGUAGGUACAGUUCUACUACACCAAAUCAGUACCAGUUUGGAGAGUGCGGUUUUCGUAGGGAGCCUUCAGUG
Long non-coding RNA from Haliotis rufescens (red abalone), 456 nucleotides. RefSeq lists it as uncharacterized. The transcript is spliced from 3 exons. The record is from RefSeq and is a predicted model, not a curated record. Lineage: Eukaryota; Metazoa; Mollusca; Gastropoda; Lepetellida; Haliotidae.